RNAcentral lists this unclassified non-coding RNA (438 nucleotides) under Hevea brasiliensis (rubber tree). Lineage: Eukaryota; Viridiplantae; Streptophyta; Magnoliopsida; Malpighiales; Euphorbiaceae. The record is from RNAcentral.
AGCUCGUGGUGCCAGUCAGUGAUGAGUGUAGUACACGUCAUACUCCUACUACAGUUGGGAUAGGUACCUUGACAAAUGGAUUGCUGUGGGUAUGUUGCUUAACCCAGCCUUAGUGCAACCUUAACUGAGAAAAACAUGUUUCUGUGCUGAGACAAUCUCAAGUUAUAUUGAAGGAAUAUAGUUUUUACCAUGGAAUUAUUUAGUAGUUAUUCCUUCAUUUUGCUGCCUCUGGCAUUUUCAAAUUUGGUAUGUUGCUUCUGGAGCAAAAUCAAUGGCAGGGAAUCCUGGUUUCGUAGUCUGCUGCUAUCCUCGCAGAUGUUAUGUACUUACAUGUCAAAUAAGUUUGCUACCCUACAAUCAAAACAAGUAAUUUCCUAGUUUCCAAAUUACUCUGAAAUCAUGUAUUGUGUGAAUGAAGCAAGUUAUGUGUUGUUUUUU